UACGGAGGGGACUAGCGUUGUUCGGAAUUACUGGGCGUAAAGCGCACGUAGGCGGAUUUGUAAGUCAGGGGUGAAAUCCCGGGGCUCAACCUCGGAACUGCCUUUGAUACUGCAAAUCUCGAGUCCGGAAGAGGUGAGUGGAAUUCCUAGUGUAGAGGUGAAAUUCGUAGAUAUUAGGAAGAACACCAGUGGCGAAGGCGGCUCACUGGUCCGGUACUGACGCUGAGGUGCGAAAGCGUGGGGAGCAAACAGG
Molecule: ribosomal RNA, 253 nt
Filed under: bacterium
Lineage: Bacteria
Also listed under: 5 other names
Description: partial 16S ribosomal RNA
Rfam family: Bacterial small subunit ribosomal RNA
Source: RNAcentral